RNAcentral lists this ribosomal RNA (427 nucleotides) under uncultured bacterium. RNAcentral's name for it is "partial 16S ribosomal RNA". It matches the Rfam family "Bacterial small subunit ribosomal RNA", at positions 355 to 774 of the family's 1533-position model. The record is from RNAcentral.
UGGGGAAUAUUGCACAAUGGGCGCAAGCCUGAUGCAGCCAUGCCGCGUGUGUGAAGAAGGCCUUCGGGUUGUAAAGCACUUUCAGCGAGGAGGAAGGGUGGUGUGUUAAUAGCGCAUCACAUUGACGUUACUCGCAGAAGAAGCACCGGCUAACUCCGUGCCAGCAGCCGCGGUAAUACGGAGGGUGCAAGCGUUAAUCGGAAUUACUGGGCGUAAAGCGCACGCAGGCGGUUUGUUAAGUCAGAUGUGAAAUCCCCGCGCUUAACGUGGGAACUGCAUUAGAAACUGGCAAGCUAGAGUCUUGUAGAGGGGGGUAGAAUUCCAGGUGUAGCGGUGAAAUGCGUAGAGAUCUGGAGGAAUACCGGUGGCGAAGGCGGCCCCCUGGACAAAGACUGACGCUCAGGUGCGAAAGCGUGGGGAGCAAACA